This 224-nucleotide ribosomal RNA is filed under the name uncultured Acinetobacter sp. RNAcentral's name for it is "partial 16S ribosomal RNA". It matches the Rfam family "Bacterial small subunit ribosomal RNA", at positions 568 to 790 of the family's 1533-position model. The record is from RNAcentral. Lineage: Bacteria; Pseudomonadati; Pseudomonadota; Gammaproteobacteria; Moraxellales; Moraxellaceae.
UGCGCAGGCGGUUAUGUAAGACAGAGGUGAAAUCCCCGAGCUUAACUUGGGAAUUGCAUUCGAUACUGGUUGGCUAGAGUGUGGGAGAGGAUGGUAGAAUUCCAGGUGUAGCGGUGAAAUGCGUAGAGAUCUGGAGGAAUACCGAUGGCGAAGGCAGCCAUCUGGCCUAACACUGACGCUGAGGUGCGAAAGCAUGGGGAGCAAACAGGAUUAGAUACCCGUGG